UCCUUGAUUCCCAUGUCUUACCAUUCUGUGAUCAGCACAGAACACAGACCACUCACCAUGGGAUUGGGGCUUACUUGGAUUUUCCUUGUUGCUAUUUUAAAAGGUGUCCAGUGUGAUGCAGAGCUGGUAGAGUCUGGAGGAGGCUUAGUGCAGCCUGGAAAGUCCCUUAAACUCUCCUGUGUGGCCUAUGAAUUCACCUUCAGCAGCUAUGCCAUGAACUGGGUGUGCCAGACUCCAGGGCAGGAGCUGGAGUGGGUCGCAUACAUUAGUAGUGGUAGUAGUAACAUCUACUAUGCCGAUGCCGUGAAUGGGCGAUUCACAAUAUCCAGAGACAAACCCUAUAUCUGCAAAUGA
This is a non-coding RNA of Mesocricetus auratus (golden hamster), 354 nucleotides long. The record is from the annotation of a RefSeq genome assembly. Lineage: Eukaryota; Metazoa; Chordata; Mammalia; Rodentia; Cricetidae.